This 500-nucleotide ribosomal RNA is filed under the name uncultured bacterium. RNAcentral describes it as "partial 16S ribosomal RNA". It matches the Rfam family "Bacterial small subunit ribosomal RNA", at positions 30 to 523 of the family's 1533-position model. The record is from RNAcentral.
AUUGAACGCUGGCGGCAUGCCUUACACAUGCAAGUCGAACGGCAGCACGGGAGCAAUCCUGGUGGCGAGUGGCGAACGGGUGAGUAAUAUAUCGGAACGUGCCCAGUCGUGGGGGAUAACGUAGCGAAAGCUACGCUAAUACCGCAUACGAUCUAUGAAUGAAAGCGGGGGAUCGCAAGACCUCGCGCGAUUGGAGCGGCCGAUAUCAGAUUAGGUAGUUGGUGAGGUAAAGGCUCACCAAGCCGACGAUCUGUAGCUGGUCUGAGAGGACGACCAGCCACACUGGGACUGAGACACGGCCCAGACUCCUACGGGAGGCAGCAGUGGGGAAUUUUGGACAAUGGGCGCAAGCCUGAUCCAGCAAUGCCGCGUGCAGGAUGAAGGCCUUCGGGUUGUAAACCGCUUUUGUACGGAACGAAACGGCGAGCUCUAAUACAGUUUGCUAAUGACGGUACCGUAAGAAUAAGCACCGGCUAACUACGUGCCAGCCGCCGCAGUAA